RNAcentral lists this microRNA precursor (105 nucleotides) under Pelobates cultripes (western spadefoot toad). Lineage: Eukaryota; Metazoa; Chordata; Amphibia; Anura; Pelobatidae. The record is from RNAcentral.
UGUCUGUCCUGUCUGCAUGUCUGUCUGCAUGUCUGUCUGCAUGUCUGUCUGCAUGUCUGUCUGCAGACAGACAUGCAGACAGACAUGCAGACAGACAUGCAGACA